RNAcentral lists this non-coding RNA (186 nucleotides) under Nevskia sp. RNAcentral's name for it is "6S RNA". It matches the Rfam family "6S / SsrS RNA". From Rfam's summary of the family: E. coli 6S RNA was the first non coding RNA to be sequenced, but its function was unknown until recently. It consists of 184 nucleotides that fold into an extended hairpin structure with a large single-stranded internal bulge. The record is from RNAcentral. Lineage: Bacteria; Pseudomonadati; Pseudomonadota; Gammaproteobacteria; Nevskiales; Nevskiaceae.
UGUCUCCUGCGGUGUUCGUGGUGUAUCAGGAACCCCUUGAGCCUAAUUGCAAUGCAAAGGGAGCCUUCCCUGCGUAGGGAGUGCAGGUCCGCCGUCUUGCAGCGGAAAGCCCGAAUACGCAGUCCGGCGCCCACUUGAGACCAUGUCUCAAGGUCGAAGAUGCGUCACGGCAUCGGCGGGAGACAC